Molecule: ribosomal RNA, 1473 nt
Filed under: Staphylococcus haemolyticus
Lineage: Bacteria; Bacillati; Bacillota; Bacilli; Caryophanales; Staphylococcaceae
Description: bacterial SSU rRNA
Rfam family: Bacterial small subunit ribosomal RNA
Source: RNAcentral
GCUCAGGAUGAACGCUGGCGGCGUGCCUAAUACAUGCAAGUCGAGCGAACAGACAAGGAGCUUGCUCCUUUGACGUUAGCGGCGGACGGGUGAGUAACACGUGGGUAACCUACCUAUAAGACUGGGAUAACUUCGGGAAACCGGAGCUAAUACCGGAUAAUAUUUCGAACCGCAUGGUUCGAUAGUGAAAGAUGGUUUUGCUAUCACUUAUAGAUGGACCCGCGCCGUAUUAGCUAGUUGGUAAGGUAACGGCUUACCAAGGCGACGAUACGUAGCCGACCUGAGAGGGUGAUCGGCCACACUGGAACUGAGACACGGUCCAGACUCCUACGGGAGGCAGCAGUAGGGAAUCUUCCGCAAUGGGCGAAAGCCUGACGGAGCAACGCCGCGUGAGUGAUGAAGGUCUUCGGAUCGUAAAACUCUGUUAUUAGGGAAGAACAUACGUGUAAAGUAACUAAUGCACGUCUUGACGGUACCUAAUCAGAAAGCCACGGCUAACUACGUGCCAGCAGCCGCGGUAAUACGUAGGUGGCAAGCGUUAUCCGGAAUUAUUGGGCGUAAAGCGCGCGUAGGCGGUUUUUUAAGUCUGAUGUGAAAGCCCACGGCUCAACCGUGGAGGGUCAUUGGAAACUGGAAAACUUGAGUGCAGAAGAGGAAAGUGGAAUUCCAUGUGUAGCGGUGAAAUGCGCAGAGAUAUGGAGGAACACCAGUGGCGAAGGCGACUUUCUGGUCUGUAACUGACGCUGAUGUGCGAAAGCGUGGGGAUCAAACAGGAUUAGAUACCCUGGUAGUCCACGCCGUAAACGAUGAGUGCUAAGUGUUAGGGGGUUUCCGCCCCUUAGUGCUGCAGCUAACGCAUUAAGCACUCCGCCUGGGGAGUACGACCGCAAGGUUGAAACUCAAAGGAAUUGACGGGGACCCGCACAAGCGGUGGAGCAUGUGGUUUAAUUCGAAGCAACGCGAAGAACCUUACCAAAUCUUGACAUCCUUUGACAACUCUAGAGAUAGAGCCUUCCCCUUCGGGGGACAAAGUGACAGGUGGUGCAUGGUUGUCGUCAGCUCGUGUCGUGAGAUGUUGGGUUAAGUCCCGCAACGAGCGCAACCCUUAAGCUUAGUUGCCAUCAUUAAGUUGGGCACUCUAAGUUGACUGCCGGUGACAAACCGGAGGAAGGUGGGGAUGACGUCAAAUCAUCAUGCCCCUUAUGAUUUGGGCUACACACGUGCUACAAUGGACAAUACAAAGGGCAGCGAAACCGCGAGGUCAAGCAAAUCCCAUAAAGUUGUUCUCAGUUCGGAUUGUAGUCUGCAACUCGACUACAUGAAGCUGGAAUCGCUAGUAAUCGUAGAUCAGCAUGCUACGGUGAAUACGUUCCCGGGUCUUGUACACACCGCCCGUCACACCACGAGAGUUUGUAACACCCGAAGCCGGUGGAGUAACCAUUUGGAGCUAGCCGUCGAAGGUGGGACAAAUGA